Molecule: long non-coding RNA, 496 nt
Organism: Magnolia sinica
Lineage: Eukaryota; Viridiplantae; Streptophyta; Magnoliopsida; Magnoliales; Magnoliaceae
Exons: 2
Source: RefSeq, a predicted model, not a curated record
CUCUCAGUAAUGGGGCAAAUAUUCGCUUUUGGGAAGAUAUCUGGGUUGGGGACUUGCCCCUUAAAACAAGAUUCCCGAACAUUUUCCUCAUCACCCCUAGAAAGGAUAUUCUCGUGGCGGAUUGUUAUUCCGUGACCGACGGCAAGAUAGUGUGGAAUGUGACUUGUAGAAGAAAUUUGCAAGACUGGGAGAUUAGCGAAUUUGUUGACCUCUUGUAUAGCAUUUAUGCUACUUUUCCUAUCCUUUCCUCCGUAGACAGCAUUAUAUGGAGAUCAGAUAAAUCCUCCAGAUUUUCCGUCCAAUCUCCUUACAAUCAGUUUCGCGUUCAGCUGCCUCAUCCUGAUCUUAGCCAACCCUCUUUCUUCUGGAAAUAUGUAGCUCCCCCUAAGAUCGUGGCUUUUGCCUGGUUAAAGAAACAGUCAACCACAUUUUAGUGCAUUGCCCUUUCAUUUCCUCUAUAUGGUCAGAAAUAUUGCUUCGGUUCUAUAUCAAUUGG